UACGAAGGGGGCUAGCGUUGUUCGGAAUUACUGGGCGUAAAGCGCGCGCAGGCGGGUCAUCAAGUCAGGGGUGAAAGCCCAGAGCUCAACUCUGGAACUGCCCUUGAAACUGGUGACCUUGAGUACGGGAGAGGUGAGUGGAAUUCCCAGUGUAGAGGUGAAAUUCGUAGAUAUUGGGAAGAACACCGGUGGCGAAGGCGGCUCACUGGCCCGUUUCUGACGCUCAUGCACGACAGCGUGGGGAUCAAACAGG
Molecule: ribosomal RNA, 253 nt
Filed under: uncultured bacterium
Lineage: Bacteria
Description: partial 16S ribosomal RNA
Rfam family: Bacterial small subunit ribosomal RNA
Source: RNAcentral